RNAcentral lists this ribosomal RNA (253 nucleotides) under uncultured bacterium. RNAcentral describes it as "partial 16S ribosomal RNA". It matches the Rfam family "Bacterial small subunit ribosomal RNA", at positions 524 to 776 of the family's 1533-position model. The record is from RNAcentral.
UACGUAGGGGGCAAGCGUUGUCCGGAUUUAUUGGGCGUAAAGAGCGUGUAGGCGGCCUGAAAGGUCAGCUGUGAAAACUCGAGGCUCAACCUCGAGACGCCGGUUGAAACCAUCUGGCUAGAGUCCGGAAGAGGAGUGUGGAAUUCCCGGUGUAGCGGUGAAAUGCGCAGAUAUCGGGAAGAACACCCGUGGCGAAGGCGGCACUCUGGGACGGUACUGACGCUGAGACGCGAAAGCGUGGGGAGCGAACAGG